Long non-coding RNA from Suricata suricatta (meerkat), 385 nucleotides. RefSeq lists it as uncharacterized. NCBI's taxonomy places the organism in Eukaryota, Metazoa, Chordata, Mammalia, Carnivora, Herpestidae. The transcript is spliced from 3 exons. The record is from RefSeq and is a predicted model, not a curated record.
GAAAAUACCUGCACGAGCUCCUCCUUGGCUUCUCAAAAGAUACUUGAGGUAGGAGAGCUCUCCUUGAUUUCUUCUGACUACUUUACUCCUUCUUCUGGCUUCUCUGACUUUGAUUUUGAAUUAAAGCAACAGCUCCCAAAAUAGGAUUCAGAGAUGCAGCAAAGACCAACAAAGACAAUUGUUAGAAACUGGUGAGAAGUCAGUCCAGGAAAUAAUUCAGCCCAAGAGCACUGAUUUGUAUGGAAACUUUCUCAAAGUGACAUCCUUCAGGUGUCCUGUGAGCACACACAUUCCCGGCUGGACUGAGAAGACCAGGACACCAACAGGAGGUGGGAAAUGAGAUGGAUUCUGUCGGAGAAGAGUGAAGGCCCAGGCUUCUUCAGUU